This 689-nucleotide ribosomal RNA is filed under the name embryophyte environmental sample. RNAcentral describes it as "eukaryotic LSU rRNA". The stretch from base 292 to 447 matches the Rfam family "5.8S ribosomal RNA". Lineage: Eukaryota; Viridiplantae; Streptophyta. The record is from RNAcentral.
AGGAGAAGUCGUAACAAGGUCUCCGUAGGUGAACCUGCGGAAGGAUCAUUGUCGAUGCCUUACAUAUCUAACACGUGAAUAAGUUUGGACACAUAAGGUUGGCUUGAGAUGUUCAACACCUCGGCUGACCUCUGGUUUGGAGGUGGAUGUUGAAAUGCGUUCUCCUUUAUUGCCAAAACUCAAACCCCGGCGCUGAAUGCGUCAAGGAAUUUAAAAGUUGGUUUGAGCGCACCUGCAUGCAUCCGGAGACGGUUUUGCUUGUGGGUUGUGUUUUUACACAUGUUAUAGAAUGACUCUCGGCAACGGAUAUCUAGGCUCUUGCAUCGAUGAAGAACGUAGCGAAAUGCGAUACUUGGUGUGAAUUGCAGAAUCCCGUGAACCAUCGAGUCUUUGAACGCAAGUUGCGCCCAAUGCCAUUAGGUUGAGGGCACGUCUGCCUGGGUGUCACAUAUCGAAGCCUUUUGCCAAUUUCCUAUUCUUAGGUGUUGUGCAGGGUGAAUGUUGGCCUCCCGUGAGCUCUCUUGUCCCAUGGUUGGUUGAAAAUUGAUGCCUCGGUAGCGUGAGCCAUGAUAGAUGGUGGUUGUGCGACCCACAAAACCAAAUCAUGUGCCUGCUCUAUCGAAUUUUACCCACAUGCGUUAAUAAACGCUCGUGAUGAGACCUCAGGUCAGGCGGGGCUACCCGCUGAA